This 216-nucleotide ribosomal RNA is filed under the name uncultured bacterium. RNAcentral describes it as "partial 16S ribosomal RNA". It matches the Rfam family "Bacterial small subunit ribosomal RNA", at positions 524 to 739 of the family's 1533-position model. The record is from RNAcentral.
UACGAAGGGGGCUAGCGUUGUUCGGAAUUACUGGGCGUAAAGGGCGCGUAGGCGGGUCGUUAAGUUAGAGGUGAAAGCCCAGGGCUCAACCCUGGAAUUGCCUUUAAUACUGUCGACCUUGAGUAUGGCAGAGGUGUGUGGAACUCCGAGUGUAGAGGUGAAAUUCGUAGAUAUUCGGAAGAACACCAGUGGCGAAGGCGACACACUGGGCCAUUA